GAAAUGCGAUAAGUAAUGUGAAUUGCAGAAUUCAGUGAAUCAUCGAAUCUUUGAACGCACCUUGCGCUCCUUGGUAUUCCUUGGAGCAUGACGGUUUGAGUAUCAUGAAAUCUUCAAAGUAAAUCUUUUGUUAACUCAAUUGGUUUCUACUUUGGUAUUGGAGGUCUUUGCAGCUUCACACCUGCUCCUCUUUGUUCAUUAGCUGGAUCUCAGUGUUAUGCUUGGUUCCACUCGGCGUGAUAAGUUAUCUAUCGCUGAGGACACUGUAAAAGGUGGCCAAGGUAAAUGCAGAUGAACCGCUUCUAAUAGUCCAUUGACUUGGACAAUACUUUUAUGAUCUGAUCUCACAUCAGGUAGGACUACCCGCUGAACUUAAGC
RNAcentral lists this unclassified non-coding RNA (378 nucleotides) under plant metagenome. RNAcentral's name for it is "partial contains 5.8S ribosomal RNA, internal transcribed spacer 2, and large subunit ribosomal RNA". The stretch from base 1 to 105 matches the Rfam family "5.8S ribosomal RNA", at positions 50 to 154 of the family's 154-position model. The record is from RNAcentral.